CCAAAUGAUGGACAGUUGAUGAUAUGUUUCAAAUUUGCUUGCCAAGCUGGAGCCACAGCCCAGCUCCAUGACUGGCAAGACUGAAGACAGACUCUUCUCCCGUGUGCUCUGGGGUAUCCCACACCUGGCGAUCCCCUUCUUUUUCAGUGCGUGGCCGACAAAGACCUCCUCUGACCUGAGUUUGGCUGAGCCCUUUUCUUCCCACGUGUAGUUUUCUGGCUUCACAGUCCGUAUGGAACUGCUUUUCUCCUGGCAUAUAAUUGCUACCCUCUUCUUCCUUAUUCUUGGAAGAGUCUCCUUCACUUUUUACUGGUUUUCCUUCUAACUUAGUCUGUGGUUUUCCUCAUUGUGGAAAAGUCUCUGGGAUUCCAGAGCUCAUUGGAAUGAAUCACAGUGCAUCUUUUUUUUUUUUAAAUCAUUGCCGCUUUUAAAAAUUAAAUUAAGUUGAUUGUUUUCAUUUUAUUGAGGUCACAUUGACUUAUGUAAAUUUCAGGUGUACAUCGUUAUAUUUCAGCUUCCGAAUAGACUGCGUUGUGUUCACCACCAAAAGUCUAGUUUCCAUCUGUCACCAUCCAUAUGUGCCCCUCACCCGCUUCUGCUCUGGUAACCACUAAUCUAUUCCCCGUAUCUACGUGUCUGUUUAUCUUCCACAUAUGAGUGAAAUCAUGCUAUUCUUGAUGAAGCCUCGGAGGUUGGGAUGCCUGAGGGAGCGUGACUGCUCUCAUGUCACUGAGCUGGUGAAGCACUUCGUGAUCGCUUAAGGACAGAGCAAACGUGAGCUGGCACUGCUCUUACCGCUGGGACUCCGGGAAGGCAGCUUGUGUUUUUCUGAAGUUGCCAUCCCCUCCCACCCGCCUAGACCAGUCCGUCUGCACAGCCAGAUUGAAAAAUUCAGCCACUUUGUGUAUCCCUACCACUAGUUACAAGGAGGAAGGAUGUGAACAGAAAAAUGCAAACUUAACAGAACUGGAAAAGCAAGGCCAACCACUUGUCCUAGGAUGUCUGGGAUGAGACAUAUAUCUCAGUGCCUUGUGACCUAGUUCUGAACGACACAGAGAUGGUCAAGGGAAGCAAGACCUUUGAACUGUGCAGGCUGAGUGGGGCUCUGACAAAGUAACAAAGAAACAGCCAUAGGAAAUGAACAAAGAACAGGAAAGCCAGCACCAUGAACAGCACGAGCAGCAGGGAGCGAGCCUGCUGGUUGACGCUAGCCCGGAGCUCUCUUUGAGGAUGUCAUUGUCCACUGAGCACACACUGAAGAGUCAGCCCUUCCCAGGUGCAGAGAGGCGGAGGGUGGGAGCCUUCGUUCCUCACUCCUCUGUCUGCAGCUGCGAGCAGGAAGGAAGAGUGGGGGAGCAGCCUCCCCUUUGGCACUCCACGUGGGCAGGUGACUUGCCCUGAGCCUAAAAGGGUCAUGUUGUCUCAGGGACAGGCAGCCUCAGGCCUGGAGGGGUUUGACUGAUUGUACCACUUUUCCAUUUACAGCACUUUAGCCUAUUCUGAGUCCUAUGUACAUUUGACCUUCCAAGAACUCUAGGAGGGUGGGUAUUAUUAUCUAUAAUCAUAAAGAGAAAGAGACAGGAGACCGAGUUGCCCAAGGACGCUCAGGUGGUUAUGACAGUAGCCCAGGUGACUCUCAGGCCUCUGAUCUGCCCUCAGCUGUGUGCAUUUUACACGCUCUUGCACCCCAAGUGCACUUACUUGUUUG
Molecule: long non-coding RNA, 1708 nt
Organism: Equus caballus (horse)
Lineage: Eukaryota; Metazoa; Chordata; Mammalia; Perissodactyla; Equidae
Source: RefSeq, a predicted model, not a curated record